GCGGAAAUAGCUCAGUGGUAGAGCGCAAGUUUCCCAAACUGGAGGUCGCGGGUUCAAUCCCCGUUUUCCGCUCAA
Molecule: transfer RNA, 75 nt
Filed under: Bacteroidetes bacterium HGW-Bacteroidetes-11
Lineage: Bacteria; Pseudomonadati; Bacteroidota
Description: tRNA-Gly
Rfam family: tRNA
About the family: Transfer RNA (tRNA) molecules are approximately 80 nucleotides in length. Their secondary structure includes four short double-helical elements and three loops (D, anti-codon, and T loops).
Source: RNAcentral